This 249-nucleotide ribosomal RNA is filed under the name uncultured marine eukaryote. RNAcentral describes it as "partial 18S ribosomal RNA". It matches the Rfam family "Eukaryotic small subunit ribosomal RNA", at positions 1189 to 1456 of the family's 1831-position model. The record is from RNAcentral.
CUUAAUUUGACUCAACACGGGAAAACUUACCAGGUCCAGACAUAGUGAGGAUUGACAGAUUGAGAGCUCUUUCUUGAUUCUAUGGGUGGUGGUGCAUGGCCGUUCUUAGUUGGUGGAUUGAUUUGUCUGCUUAAUUGCGUUAACGAACGAGACCCCCGCCUGCUAAAUAGUUGCAUUAAUGAAUUAUCAUUGUUGACAUCUUCUUAGAGGGACUUUUGGUGAUUAACCAAAGGAAGUUGGGGGCAAUAA